RNAcentral lists this long non-coding RNA (343 nucleotides) under Physcomitrium patens. RNAcentral's name for it is "long non-coding RNA (PPAT_LNC006961)". The record is from RNAcentral. Lineage: Eukaryota; Viridiplantae; Streptophyta; Bryopsida; Funariales; Funariaceae.
AAUAACAUCUAUUAACUACUUUGUUUGGUAAAUUUUGUCAUACUUUGGAUCACCUCUUUUAAUUUCCUCAUAUGUUCUUAUAUUUAUGAUAUGCUAACAUCACCUCAAGUUUAUAAGUUAACUUAAUCUGUAAAUAUUAAACAUCAUUAAACAAUAAAAAAGUAUGUUUUGCAUCCAAUAAGUUUUGUAAUUUUAUUAUUUUUUCAUUGCCAUGUAUAAUAUCAAUGCUAUAAAAGGUGUCAAACUAGUUACACUCAAUUCUUCCUACUUAAGUUAUUCCAAUGUAUUUUCAUGUAUAUCUAUUAGUAUUUUCGAAUACCUAUUUAUUUCUUCUACAAUUGCA